Camellia sinensis is the source of this 239-nucleotide non-coding RNA. NCBI's taxonomy places the organism in Eukaryota, Viridiplantae, Streptophyta, Magnoliopsida, Ericales, Theaceae. The record is from RefSeq and is a predicted model, not a curated record.
GAGAGAGAGAGAGAGAGAGAGAGAGUUGUUUAGUCUCAUCUGAGAAAACAUUUUGAGUUUGGGUUUGCAGGUAAAGCCAUGGCGGAUAAUAUUGUUUUAAAGACCAUACUGAAAAGCGAGGCUCUUCAAAAGUACAUUUUGGAUACCAGUGCAUACCCAAGAGAACAUGAGCAGCUCAAGAGGCUAAGAGAUGCAACAUUCAAGAAAUAUGGCGACAGAGCGGAGAUAAGUGUGCCCCC